This 250-nucleotide ribosomal RNA is filed under the name uncultured bacterium. RNAcentral describes it as "partial 16S ribosomal RNA". It matches the Rfam family "Bacterial small subunit ribosomal RNA", at positions 524 to 773 of the family's 1533-position model. The record is from RNAcentral.
UACAGGGGGUGCAAGCGUUAUUCGGAAUUAUUGGGCGUAAAGAGCGUGUAGGCGGUUCAGCAAGUUUGGUGUGAAAUCCCCGGGCUUAAUCCGGGAAGUGCAUUGAAUACUGCUAGACUAGAGUAUAGGAGAGGAUGGCGGAAUUCCUGGUGUAGAGGUGAAAUUCGUAGAUAUCAGGAGGAACAACAGAGGCGAAGGCGGCCAUCUGGACUAUUACUGACGCUAAGGCGCGAAAGUGUGGGGAGCAAAC